Molecule: ribosomal RNA, 173 nt
Filed under: Paracobitis rhadinaeus
Lineage: Eukaryota; Metazoa; Chordata; Actinopteri; Cypriniformes; Nemacheilidae
Description: partial 12S rRNA
Source: RNAcentral
CACCGCGGUUAUACGAGAGGCCCUAGUUGACAGAUACGGCGUAAAGGGUGGUUAAGGAGAACAGAAUUUUAAAGCCAAAGGGCCUCUUGGCCGUCAUACGCUUCUGAGUGUCCGAAGUCCAGAAACGAAAGUAGCUUUAAUAUAACCCGCCUGACCCCACGAGAGCUGAGAAA